Molecule: long non-coding RNA, 156 nt
Organism: Alexandromys fortis (reed vole)
Lineage: Eukaryota; Metazoa; Chordata; Mammalia; Rodentia; Cricetidae
Exons: 3
Source: RefSeq, a predicted model, not a curated record
UAUUUUCACUGUAGGGUUUUUGAACAGUCUGGCCGGUCUCUGUUUCAUACAGUGGCAAAGCCUAGGGCUUGAUUGGUUUGGUCUCUUUCCAACAGUUCUCACUUCACUGUUUCCACCUGUGCCGAGUGUCUGUCUUUCUCAAGAUUCUUAAAGAGG